GGAAAGGUGGCAGAGUGGUUUAAUGUAUCAGUUUUGAAAACUGUCGUAGUUCAAAAACUACCGGGGGUUCGAAUCCCCCCCUUUCCU
RNAcentral lists this transfer RNA (87 nucleotides) under Rhipidosiphon lewmanomontiae. RNAcentral describes it as "tRNA-Ser". It matches the Rfam family "tRNA". Rfam says of the family: Transfer RNA (tRNA) molecules are approximately 80 nucleotides in length. Their secondary structure includes four short double-helical elements and three loops (D, anti-codon, and T loops). Lineage: Eukaryota; Viridiplantae; Chlorophyta; Ulvophyceae; Bryopsidales. The record is from RNAcentral.